Molecule: ribosomal RNA, 253 nt
Filed under: uncultured bacterium
Lineage: Bacteria
Description: partial 16S ribosomal RNA
Rfam family: Bacterial small subunit ribosomal RNA
Source: RNAcentral
UACGGAGGAGGCAAGCGUUAUCCGGAAUUAUUGGGCGUAAAGCGUCCGCAGGUGGCACUUCAAGUCUGUCGUCAAAGACUGGGGCUUAACCCUGGAAAGGCGGUGGAAACUGAAGCGCUAGAGUGCGGUAGGGGUAGAGGGAAUUCCCGGUGUAGCGGUGGAAUGCGCAGAUAUCAGGAGGAACACCAACGGCGAAGGCAGCUCGCUGGGACGGUACUGACGCUAAGGCGCGAAAGCGUGGGGAGCAAACAGG